Non-coding RNA from Dipodomys ordii (Ord's kangaroo rat), 70 nucleotides. The record is from Rfam. Lineage: Eukaryota; Metazoa; Chordata; Mammalia; Rodentia; Heteromyidae.
GGGAAUGUGGCUUAGUGGGAAAGUGCUUGCCUAGCAUGCAGGAAGCCCUGGGUUCGAUUCCUCAGUACCA